RNAcentral lists this ribosomal RNA (495 nucleotides) under uncultured bacterium. RNAcentral describes it as "partial 16S ribosomal RNA". It matches the Rfam family "Bacterial small subunit ribosomal RNA", at positions 28 to 507 of the family's 1533-position model. The record is from RNAcentral.
GACGAACGCUAGCGGCGUGCCUAAUACAUGCAAGUAGAACGCUGAAGGAGGAGCUUGCUUCUCUGGAUGAGUUGCGAACGGGUGAGUAACGCGUAGGUAACCUGCCUGGUAGCGGGGGAUAACUAUUGGAAACGAUAGCUAAUACCGCAUAAGAGUAGAUGUUGCAUGACAUUUGCUUAAAAGGUGCAAUUGCAUCACUACCAGAUGGACCUGCGUUGUAUUAGCUAGUUGGUGGGGUAACGGCUCACCAAGGCGACGAUACAUAGCCGACCUGAGAGGGUGAUCGGCCACACUGGGACUGAGACACGGCCCAGACUCCUACGGGAGGCAGCAGUAGGGAAUCUUCGGCAAUGGACGGAAGUCUGACCGAGCAACGCCGCGUGAGUGAAGAAGGUUUUCGGAUCGUAAAGCUCUGUUGUAAGAGAAGAACGAGUGUGAGAGUGGAAAGUUCACACUGUGACGGUAUCUUACCAGAAAGGGACGGCUAACUACGUG